UGCAAGUCGAACGGUCUCUUCGGAGAUAGUGGCGGACGGGUGAGUAACGCGUGAGAAUCUAGCUUUAGGUCGGGGACAACCACUGGAAACGGUGGCUAAUACCGGAUGUGCCGGAAGGUGAAAGAUUUAUUGCCUAGAGAUGAGCUCGCGUCUGAUUAGCUAGUAGGUGUGGUAAGAGCGCACCUAGGCGACGAUCAGUAGCUGGUCUGAGAGGAUGAUCAGCCACACUGGGACUGAGACACGGCCCAGACUCCUACGGGAGGCAGCAGUGGGGAAUUUUCCGCAAUGGGCGAAAGCCUGACGGAGCAAUACCGCGUGAGGGAGGAAGGCUCUUGGGUUGUAAACCUCUUUUCUCAAGGAAGAAAAAAAUGACGGUACUUGAGGAAUAAGCAUCGGCUAACUCCGUGCCAGCAGCCGCGGUAAUACGGAGGAUGCAAGCGUUAUCCGGAAUGAUUGGGCGUAAAGCGUCCGCAGGUGGCAAUGUAAGUCUGCUGUUAAAGAGUGAGGCUCAACCUCAUAAGAGCAGUGGAAACUACAUAGCUAGAGUGCGUUCGGGGCAGAGGGAAUUCCUGGUGUAGCGGUGAAAUGCGUAGAGAUCAGGAAGAACACCGGUGGCGAAAGCGCUCUGCUAGGCCGCAACUGACACUGAGGGACGAAAGCUAGG
Molecule: ribosomal RNA, 664 nt
Filed under: uncultured Tolypothrix sp.
Lineage: Bacteria; Bacillati; Cyanobacteriota; Cyanophyceae; Nostocales; Tolypothrichaceae
Description: bacterial SSU rRNA
Rfam family: Bacterial small subunit ribosomal RNA
Source: RNAcentral